AGAAGAGCUGAGCGGGGGGCUGAGCUGUCCCCAGUUGCUGCAAUCCUGGGGCCAGGGCUCGCUAACGCAAGGCGGACCGACCCGUGUGCCCUGCAGCAGCCUCUGGCCCCGGGGCAGGGCUCUCGGCAGGACUUCUGGAAGGGAAACCUGGACUGGAGCCACCCCGGGGCAAAGGGAACGCUGCGCGCCAGGCGCAUCCUCGCGGCUCAGCCUCCAUCUCCCCGCAUCUCCGGGAUGUCAACAAACGCCGACCACAAAGUGAAACUUUCCGGGCCCCCACUGUCGCGCUGGGUCUCUGCCCUCCGCCCGGGAGCGCGUCGCGGGCACAGGUCUCCCGCGGUGCGUACCGCGCGUCCUUCCUAAUCCGGGAUGGCUGGGAGCCCUCUAUGGCCGGAGGAACCAGGAAUCAGACUCAGACUACAUGGUGGAUUGUCCUUAUUCAGCCGUGGACACAUCUAUGGGAGAAAACCAAACCAGAAUGGGCCAGGCUCUGUAUAAACAGAGGAGACCCCAAAAUUGUGAUCUGCAACAGAAAAGGAGCCACCAACCCGGAUGCAUCUGCGACGGAUCCCAGGGUGCUUUAUCCACACGCUGGAUUCGCUCCCUGGUUAGCAAGAGUGAUGUGUGUGCAGAGAGUCUAGUAGUUGAGAAGUGAGGUUAGGGCGUUAGGGUUGUUCCAACAGAGAAAAUGAGGGAUGCUGAACUAAGUGGCCCUUCUCCUCCAGCACUUACCUCUCCACACCCUCCCUCUGUAUCUCCCACCUCUCCUUCUACGCUGGUGCCAGUACCCUCAGCCUAUAAACAAAGAUCAAGUCUCUCCCAGCAUGGAUAAACUGAGACCCAGCAAUUUCACUCCUAAGUAUGUACUCUGGGAAAUUGAAAACAUACCUAUGCAAAAACUUGUACACAGAUGUUCACAGCCUGUUCAUAAUGGCCAAAACUUGGAACAGUUAGAAGGCCCAUCAUUCGAUGAAAGGGUGAAUUAUGGCUUAUCCAUACAAUGGAACAUGACCAGACCAUAAAAGGGAAUGAAGUAAUAUGGAUGAACAUUGAAAACUAAGAAAGCCAGACAUGAAUAACCACACAGCGUAUGAGUCCAUUUUUAUGAAAUGUCUGGAAUAGGCAAAUCUACAGAAAGUAGAUGAAUGGCCACCAGGGCCUGGGAGUGAGAGAAAAUAGGGAGUGACUGCUAAUGGACAUGGGGCUUCUUGGGGUGUGAUGAAAAUGUUCUGAAACUAGAUGGAAGUAAUGACUGUACAACUUUUGUGAAUACACUAAAAAACCACUGAAUAAUACAGUUU
Molecule: long non-coding RNA, 1301 nt
Filed under: Mustela putorius furo (domestic ferret)
Lineage: Eukaryota; Metazoa; Chordata; Mammalia; Carnivora; Mustelidae
Description: lncRNA (ENSMPUG00000029739.1)
Source: RNAcentral